UACGAGGGGGGCAAGUGUUGUUCGGAAUCACUGGGCGUAAAGGGCGCGUAGGCGGCGUUUUAAGUCGGGGGUGAAAGCCUGUGGCUCAACCACAGAAUGGCCUUCGAUACUGGGACGCUUGAGUCUGGUAGAGGUUGGUGGAACUGCGAGUGUAGAGGUGAAAUUCGUAGAUAUUCGCAAGAACACCGGUGGCGAAGGCGGCCAACUGGACCAGCACUGACGCUGAGGCGCGAAAGCGUGGGGAGCAAACAGG
Molecule: ribosomal RNA, 253 nt
Filed under: uncultured bacterium
Lineage: Bacteria
Description: partial 16S ribosomal RNA
Rfam family: Bacterial small subunit ribosomal RNA
Source: RNAcentral